GCCUGUGGCCAUGCCAUUUUAUAUAUGACUGAUCUUGUCUGCUCUCAGAAGCUAAGCAAGGUUGGCCUUUAUUAGUACUUGGAUGGGAUUCUACCCUGGAAUACCGGAUGCUGUAGGCU
RNAcentral lists this ribosomal RNA (119 nucleotides) under Pogona vitticeps (central bearded dragon). Lineage: Eukaryota; Metazoa; Chordata; Lepidosauria; Squamata; Agamidae. The record is from RNAcentral.